GGAGGAAUACCCAAGUCCGGCUGAAGGGAUCGGUCUUGAAAACCGAGAGGGGCUUAACGGCUCGCGGGGGUUCGAAUCCCUCUUCCUCCG
RNAcentral lists this transfer RNA (90 nucleotides) under Staphylococcus aureus. RNAcentral describes it as "tRNA-Ser". It matches the Rfam family "tRNA". Rfam says of the family: Transfer RNA (tRNA) molecules are approximately 80 nucleotides in length. Their secondary structure includes four short double-helical elements and three loops (D, anti-codon, and T loops). Lineage: Bacteria; Bacillati; Bacillota; Bacilli; Caryophanales; Staphylococcaceae. The record is from RNAcentral. RNAcentral also lists the same sequence under 1 other name.